UGAGGGAUGACGGCCUUCGGGUUGUAAACCUCUUUCAGUCAGGAACAAGCCUUCGGGUGAGGGUACUGGCAGAAGAAGCACCGGCUAACUACGUGCCAGCAGCCGCGGUAAUACGUAGGGUGCGAGCGUUAUCCGGAAUUAUUGGGCGUAAAGAGCUUGUAGGCGGUUUGUCGCGUCUGCUGUGAAAGCCCGGGGCUUAACUCCGGGUCUGCAGUGGGUACGGGCAGGCUAGAGUGAUGUAGGGGUAACUGGAAUUCCUGGUGUAGCGGUGGAAUGCGCAGAUAUCAGGAAGAACACCGAUGGCGAAGGCAGGUUACUGGGCAUUUACUGACGCUGAGAAGCGAAAGCAUGGGGAGCGAACAGGAUUAGAUACCCUGGUAGUCCAUGCCGUAAACGUUGGGCACUAGGUGUGGGGAGCAUUCCACGUUUUCCGCGCCGUAGCUAACGCAUUAAGUGCCCCGCCUGGGGAGUACGGCCGCAAGGCUAAAACUCAAAUGAAUUGACGG
Molecule: ribosomal RNA, 506 nt
Filed under: uncultured bacterium
Lineage: Bacteria
Description: bacterial SSU rRNA
Rfam family: Bacterial small subunit ribosomal RNA
Source: RNAcentral